GGGUAAGUAGGUUGGUCGUGCCACCGGUACGUACUGGUCUCACUGAUUCCUCCUUCCUGAAGAACCGUAAUGCCAUUAAUUUGGUGUUGCGGGGAAACAGGACUGUUACUUUGAAAAAAUUAGAGUGUUUAAAGCAAGCUAACGCUUGAAUACAUUAGCAUGGAAUAAUGAAAUAGGACGAUCGAUCCUAUUUUGUUGGCUUCUAGGAUUGACGUA
Molecule: ribosomal RNA, 216 nt
Filed under: Glomeromycotina sp.
Lineage: Eukaryota; Fungi; Glomeromycota
Description: partial small subunit ribosomal RNA
Rfam family: Eukaryotic small subunit ribosomal RNA (bases 40-216)
Source: RNAcentral